Molecule: ribosomal RNA, 301 nt
Filed under: uncultured bacterium
Lineage: Bacteria
Description: partial 16S ribosomal RNA
Rfam family: Bacterial small subunit ribosomal RNA
Source: RNAcentral
CAGCAGCCGCGGGAAUACGUAGGCGGCAAGCGUUGUCCGGAAUUAUUGGGCGUAAAGGGCUCGCAGGCGGUUUCUUAAGUCUGAUGUGAAAGCCCCCGGCUCAACCGGGGAGGGUCAUUGGAAACUGGGAAACUUGAGUGCAGAAGAGGAGAGUGGAAUUCCACGUGUAGCGGUGAAAUGCGUAGAGAUGUGGAGGAACACCAGUGGCGAAGGCGACUCUCUGGUCUGUAACUGACGCUGAGGAGCGAAAGCGUGGGGAGCGAACAGGAUUAGAGACCCCCGUAGUCCCUGUCUCUUAUAA